Molecule: unclassified non-coding RNA, 440 nt
Filed under: Hevea brasiliensis (rubber tree)
Lineage: Eukaryota; Viridiplantae; Streptophyta; Magnoliopsida; Malpighiales; Euphorbiaceae
Source: RNAcentral
UCAGCUAAACAAACAGUUGUAUAGAUAAUAGUUUCUCCAUCUCUAAUUGUAACAGCCCCACUAGCUUGCCUUCCUAUAAGACCUGUUUCAACGGUAAUAUGUCUAUCACCAACAGGAAUUCGAACAGAGAAAGGGGAAGGAGAACCUGGAACUCCUGCAGUAUCCUGAGCUAAAAGAGACAAGUCCUGAGGGUCAACUGAAGCUCUUACGGAGAAUUGCUUAAGACUUCGUCUUCGUUUUCGGCUUCUGUUCCUCCUGUUUUCCAAUGUUGAGGAAGCAAGAAACUGAUAGGUUGUGCUGUGAAGCUGUAGAGGGAAAGCGUAUGACCUGCAGAGUUCAUUGCGAACUGUUGGUAGGAAGUGUAGAGGUCGGCCAUGGAAGCUAGGGUUGGCGAACAUUGCUGCUUCGCCACAAAACUACAGGUGCAAAGUGAGACAGGG